This 200-nucleotide unclassified non-coding RNA is filed under the name soil metagenome. Its description in RNAcentral is "partial contains internal transcribed spacer 2 and large subunit ribosomal RNA". The record is from RNAcentral.
GCGUCAUUUCAACCUCAAGCACAGCUUGGUAUUGGUGGCUCGCCCCGCUUGGGGCGUCCCCAAAAAACAGCGGCGUCGUCGCCGGGCUCUAGGCGUAGUAAUAAUCUUUCGUCUUGAGGGUCCCGGGGGUCGAUAGCCGGACAAUCACCACAAUUCUUAUGGUUGACCUCGGAUCAGGUAGGGAUACCCGCUGAACUUAA